UUUCGAUUGCGAUUUUUGUCAUAUUAAAAAAUAAUUAAAAAACUUAUUUUUUAAUUAUUUUAUUGAACUAAACAUAUGAAGUUUUAUUAGAUAUAUGUAGUCCGUAGUACAGUACAAUCGGAGUUAAAAAAAAAAAAGCAAAGAAAUAGAGCAGCGAGGGUCUGGAAAUGAAAAGGGGAAUUAGGGUUUGAGAGUGGGAUGGCGUCGCUGAUGAGUUGCAGCAAGUAAUAGCAGGAUCGUUGUUUUUUGUCGUCGUUAGUGACUUGUGUAUAUGUGUGUGUUUGUUUCUUGUGUGUGUGCUUGUUGGUGAGUUUCGUUGAGGGCUGGAUGCAGGGGUUUGUGUGUAUGGCGGUGGUGGCGAUUGGCUUGUUUGGCCGGUGGGACGGUGGCGAUGAUCGCUUGUGGCUGGGUCGGGGAUGAACGGUGUUGCAGGAGGGAUGGAGGUCGUGGAGGGGUUUGUAGGUGUGGCUGUUGGCAUAUAUAAGGAGAAGGAAGGCUGGUGGUUGGCUGAUGCUGGUAAUACGGGCGGCUGGGGGGAGGAGGCCGAGACGGAGAUGGAAUCGAUUGUGGGUUACCAUGUAAUCAGGCCAGGUUUCAUUUACCCUUAAAAGGUUUGUUUAAUUCCAUAGGCAUUAUCGAAACCUGUGAUAUCCACAACGAGCACAAGGUGUUUGACAAAUCGCAUAGCUGAAGUAACAAAUAUCACUCUCGCAAUUCGCAUUGUAAAAACAAAGCAGAAGAGCAGAGUAGAUCAGAGCGAUGUGGCACUUCGUUGUCUCAUCUGCUUUUUUCCCCCAAAUCAUCUCCUCUACUUACUCCGGUAUGAGAUCUCCUCAUUAUAUCUUUUUUAUUAUUUGUUUUCUUCGCGCUACCUAUCUGUAAAUAACUAGUUGCUAUUUAUCUGUUUUAUGCGGUGAUAGUCGCUGAAUGUAGUGAAUAGGUCAGUGCUGUUUACUGUGUUUUUCAGCUUAUGAUUGUUACUGAAUUUUGUGGAAAAUGAUAUAAAAUAAAGCUGUCUUGUCUAAUAAAUGCAUACAAGUAUUGUGUGUCAGUGUAUGUGGCGUUUUAAUGAUAUUUAUGUGAUAUUAUUUGCUGGAGUUGCAUCUACAAAAUUCUUGUGGUUCACUGGGGUUUAUGAUUUCCUGACUUAGAACUCUAUGAGUCUGAGUUCCUGCGUUUGUAUGCCUUGUACUAAUGUACUUUGUAGCAGCAAAUCUCGAGCCGGAUACGAAUCACAAUAGCUUCCACUCGGAACAAAACUUGGCCGCUUGAUGUUGCUCAAGAGCUCAAGGCCUAUAAUCGAGAUGGAGUGUAUCAGGAACAUGGGGAUUCUCUUAGCAUUGGCUGAUGAACCACUUGUGGUUAAGUUCCACAAGGUGUAUCAGGGCUGAAGCUGAUGUGUGAUGGAUUGUCAAAUGGCUGAGGCAUCCACUACUUCACUUUCUCUCUUCUUGUAGUAUUGUUUACAAUGUUUUGAUUCCAUUCCUUCCGCAUCAAAAUUUUCCCUGAUGUCACUUUGAAGCACGAAAAAAGGACAGUGUAUUGCUGAGAAGGUAGAUAGGUUGCGAGAACUUGAAGCAUUGUCAGAAAUGAAUCUCAAGACACUGUUAACAGGAGAAUUAUAAUCAGAAUGACUUGUUAGUCUAUUACUUUAAUUAUAAUGCUGUUUCACAACUUUAUUAGAAGUUGCAUGAUAUUGAAAAGACAAGAAGAGUGUACUUAUUAUUUGUUUGGUAUUUUUUGGCUGCUUAACAUAUUUUUUUUUUCAUUUUUCUUAUUCAGGACUCGUAGGAAGAAGUCACUGACCUGCCUGUUAGGUCCAUAGCACAUGAUUCUUCUAGCUUCUCAGCGGUGGCGUUGUAACUACUCAUUCUUUAAGAUAUAAUUUUAAGUGAGUUUGACUGAGGAACAGAGGUCACGUGCACAGUUGUUAAAAAUUGCUAUGCAGCUUUGGUAUUUCCUCGCUCCCUGCCUCAUAGUGCAAAUUUGUGUCUCUUUACUGGCGGAGUACCCCCACAAUUGUCUGUUAGAGGUGAUUUUUGUUCGAAGCUGGGAGCUUGGAUAUGGAGUUUGUGGUGUCUUGCUGGGGAGUGCUGAUGGUUUUAGCAGAGUUUAUUUUACCUUUUUUUAUGCUUGUAAUUUUAUUAGGACUUAUUUCUUUUGUAGUUUCCUUUGUAGUGGUUUCUUGGAGCUUGUUCUAAGAAAUCUUUUGUUGGACCUGAGAGUAGUCUUCUCUCUUGGUUGUAUCUUUUGUUUAAUUUAUAAAAUUCAAUGUUUUUUUGGAUUC
Molecule: long non-coding RNA, 2287 nt
Organism: Daucus carota subsp. sativus
Lineage: Eukaryota; Viridiplantae; Streptophyta; Magnoliopsida; Apiales; Apiaceae
Exons: 2
Source: RefSeq, a predicted model, not a curated record